GGUCAAGCUACAAAGGGCGCAUGGUGAAUGCCUUGGCAUCAGGAGCCGAUGAAGGACGUGAUAAGCUGCGAUAAGCUUCGGGUAGGCGCACAUAGCCUGAGAUCCGAAGAUCUCCGAAUGAGGAAACUCACAUGGGAAACCCCAUGUAUCAUUAAGUGAAUACAUAGCUUAAUGAAGGUAACCCAGGGAACUGAAACAUCUAAGUACCUGGAGGAAGAGAAAGAAAAAUCGAUUUUCUUAGUAGCGGCGAGCGAAAGGGAAAGAGCCCAAACCGGAAACUUGUUUCCGGGGUUGUGGACAUAACAUAAAAGUGGAGGCUAUUGUAACUGAAGAGAACUGGAAAGUUCCACCGUAGAAGGUAAUAGUCCUGUAAGUGAAACGAGAAGACCACGAGUUAUGAUCCAGAGUACCACGAGACACGUGAAACCUUGUGGGAAGCAGGGAGGACCACCUCCCAAGGCUAAAUACUACCUGAUGACCGAUAGUGAAGCAGUACCGUGAGGGAAAGGUGAAAAGAACCCCGGGAGGGGAGUGAAAUAGAACCUGAAACCGUGUGCCUACAACCGCUCAGAGCCCCUUAUGAGGGUGAUGAGGUGCUUUUUGUAGAACGAGCCAACGAGUUACGGUAUGUAGCAAGGUUAAGUACUUAAGGUACGGAGCCGAAGGGAAACCGAGUCUGAAUAGGGCGACUAGUUGCAUGCCGUAGACCCGAAACCGGGUGACCUAUCCAUGGCCAGGUUGAAGCGAGGGUAAAACCUCGUGGAGGACCGAACCACGUUGCUGUUGAAAAAGCAUGGGAUGAGCUGUGGAUAGCGGAGAAAUUCCAAUCGAACCCGGAGAUAGCUGGUUCUCUCCGAAAUAGCUUUAGGGCUAGCGUCGAGUAUGAGUAGUGGAGGUAGAGCACUGAAUGGGCUAGGGGGCAUAGCGCUUACCGAACCUUAUCAAACUCCGAAUGCCACAUACUUUGAGCUCGGCAGUCAGACUCCGAAUGAUAAGAUCCGUGGUCAAAAGGGAAACAGCCCAGAUCGUCAGCUAAGGUCCCAAAGUGUAAGUUAAGUGGGAAAGGAUGUGAGAUUUCUAAGACAACUAGGAUGUUGGCUUAGAAGCAGCCAUUCAUUAAAAGAGUGCGUAAUAGCUCACUAGUCGAGAGAUCUUGCGCCGAAAAUGUAACGGGGCUAAACUUACCACCGAAGCUACGGGCUUGAACUUAGUUCAAGCGGUAGGAGAGCGUCGUAACCGGGCUGAAGUCGUACCGUAAGGAGCGGUGGACUGGUUACGAGUGAGAAUGUUGGCAUCAGUAGCGAGAUGUGGGUGAGAAUCCCACAGGCCGAAAACCUAAGGUUUCCUCAGGAAGGUUCGUCCGCUGAGGGUUAGUCGGGACCUAAGCCGAGGCCGAAAGGCGUAGGUGAUGGACAACUGGUUGAUAUUCCAGUACCACUACCAUCGUUAUUAUCGAUGGAGUGACGCAGGAGGAUAGUGUGUGCUAGCUAUUGGAUGCUAGUCUAAGCGUUUAGGCAGUGAGAGUAGGCAAAUCCGCUCUCAUAAUGCUGAGGCGUGAUGGGGAAGGUUCCACGGAACCGAAGUACAUGAUUCCACGCUGCCAAGAAAAGCGUCUAGAGAGAGAAGUAGUGCCCGUACCGCAAACCGACACAGGUAGGUGAGGAGAGAAUCCUAAGGCCGGCGGAAGAAUUACAGUUAAGGAACUCGGCAAAUUGACCCCGUAAGUUCGCGAGAAGGGGUGCCUACGAGAGUAGGCCGCAGAGAAUAGGCCCAAGCAACUGUUUAGCAAAAACACAGGUCUCUGCUAAAGCGUAAGCUGAUGUAUAGGGGCUGACGCCUGCCCGGUGCUGGAAGGUUAAGGGGAACACUUAGCGCAAGCGAAGGUGUGAACUUAAGCCCCAGUAAACGGCGGCCGUAACUAUAACGGUCCUAAGGUAGCGAAAUUCCUUGUCAGGUAAGUUCUGACCCGCACGAAUGGCGUAAUGACUUGGGCACUGUCUCAACUGUAAAUCCGGCGAAGUUGUAGUGCGAGUGAAGAUGCUCGCUACCCGCGAUUGGACGGAAAGACCCCGUAGAGCUUUACUGUAGCUUAGCAUUGAGUUUUGGUAUUGUCUGUACAGGAUAGGUGGGAGACUAGGAAACCAGGGCGUCAGCCUUGGUGGAGUCAACCUUGGGAUACCACCCUGACAGUACUGAAAUUCUAACUGGCGGCCAUGAAUCUGGUCACAGGACAUUGUUAGGUGGGCAGUUUGACUGGGGCGGUCGCCUCCUAAAAAGUAACGGAGGCGCCCAAAGGUUCCCUCAGAACGGUCGGAAAUCGUUCGAAGAGUGCAAAGGCAGAAGGGAGCCUGACUGCGACACCCACAAGUGGAGCAGGGACGAAAGUCGGGCUUAGUGAUCCGGUGGUACCUCGUGGGAGGGCCAUCGCUCAACGGAUAAAAGCUACCUCGGGGAUAACAGGCUGAUCUCCCCCAAGAGUCCACAUCGACGGGGAGGUUUGGCACCUCGAUGUCGGCUCGUCGCAUCCUGGGGCUGAAGUAGGUCCCAAGGGUUGGGCUGUUCGCCCAUUAAAGCGGCACGCGAGCUGGGUUCAGAACGUCGUGAGACAGUUCGGUCCCUAUCCGUCGCGGGCGUAGGAAAUUUGAGAGGAGCUGUCCUUAGUACGAGAGGACCGGGAUGGACUGACCUCUGGUGUACCAGUUGUUCCGCCAGGAGCACAGCUGGGUAGCUAAGUCGGGAAUGGAUAAACGCUGAAAGCAUCUAAGCGUGAAGCCAACCUCAAGAUGAGAUUUCCCAUAGCAUAAGCUAGUAAGAUCCCUUGAAGAACACAAGGUUGAUAGGUCGGGGGUGUAAGCAUGGUAACAUGUUCAGCUGACCGAUACUAAUAGAUCGAGGGCUUGACCAA
RNAcentral lists this ribosomal RNA (2905 nucleotides) under Clostridium perfringens D str. JGS1721. Its description in RNAcentral is "bacterial LSU rRNA". It matches the Rfam family "Bacterial large subunit ribosomal RNA". Lineage: Bacteria; Bacillati; Bacillota; Clostridia; Eubacteriales; Clostridiaceae. The record is from RNAcentral.